Oryzias melastigma (Indian medaka) is the source of this 689-nucleotide long non-coding RNA. RefSeq lists it as uncharacterized. The transcript has 2 exons. The record is from RefSeq and is a predicted model, not a curated record. NCBI's taxonomy places the organism in Eukaryota, Metazoa, Chordata, Actinopteri, Beloniformes, Adrianichthyidae.
GUGUUCCUGGUAGGAGAUGCUGAUCAGGUGAAGAAGUCAUGGUGGCAGAGAGGAUGUGCACGUUUACAAGAUGAGAAGAGGCUGUGAUGUCUGGAACCAAUCCAGAGGACCAGAGAACAACCAGAUGAUUAGAAACACGGAUGGACCGCCUCAGACCGGAUCUUCUGCAGCUUCUUCUGCAACUUUUACAAAUCUGCCGCCGUCCUUCAACACGUCUGCAUCACCUGUUGGAGUUCCUCAAACCACCACUGGGGGCAGGUUUUCCAGCUGCCUCGGUCAGAACUUCCUCCACCUUCAGAGAUCACAGACUGUAGACUUCCUAUUCAAUCCCCACGGCUUCCCCUCACACCACAACCAAGACCGAGAACCGGCCCGACACAGCUCCACCAUGACACGCCGUCACCAUCUUUGACGUUUUUCUUUAUCUUCUGUCAAAAAAACAGUUUUACUUUUUUUUAUCCCGCCAAAAGUGUGUUUGUGUAACUCUUAUUGUUGUGUUGUGAUGCUAAAACUAUAUCUUUGUGUUUCUGUUGUCAACUUCAUCCUCUGAACUGAUUCUUUAUUUAACAUUUCACGAUCUAAUAUUUUAAAAAUACAAAUUUAUGUUCAAGAACAUGUAAAAACUGUAUCAUAUCAUCAUUAUCUUGUUGCUACUUUAUUGACAUAAAGUGUAUUUUUGUUGUUCUCUA